RNAcentral lists this ribosomal RNA (253 nucleotides) under uncultured bacterium. RNAcentral's name for it is "partial 16S ribosomal RNA". It matches the Rfam family "Bacterial small subunit ribosomal RNA", at positions 524 to 776 of the family's 1533-position model. The record is from RNAcentral.
GACGUAGGAUGCGAGCGUUGUCCGGAUUUAUUGGGCGUAAAGAGUUCGUAGGUGGUUUGUUAAGUCUGAUGUUAAAGACUGAGGCUCAACCUCGGAAAUGCAUUGGAUACUGGCAGACUUGAGUGUAGUAGAGGCAAGCGGAAUUCCAGGUGUAGCGGUGAAAUGCGUAGAUAUCUGGAAGAACACCAGUGGCGUAAGCGGCUUGCUGGGCUAUAACUGACACUGAGGAACGAAAGCCAGGGUAGCGAAUGGG